Gossypium hirsutum (cotton) is the source of this 145-nucleotide non-coding RNA. NCBI's taxonomy places the organism in Eukaryota, Viridiplantae, Streptophyta, Magnoliopsida, Malvales, Malvaceae. The record is from Rfam.
AAUUAAAAAUUUUAUUCAUUUGUACCAUUAAAAAUUGACGUGACUGAUAGAAUAAUCAGACAAUGACACGUGACGUGUCAUGUGUACUUCAUGCUGAUAUAUAAGGAUUAGUUUUUAGCAUUAGAAAUGAAUAAAAUUUUUAACA